UGGGGAAUAUUGGACAAUGGGCGCAAGCCUGAUCCAGCCAUGCCGCGUGUGUGAAGAAGGCCUUCGGGUUGUAAAGCACUUUUGUUGGGAAAGAAAUCCUGUCGAUUAAUACUCGGCGGGGAUGACGGUACCCAAAGAAUAAGCACCGGCUAACUUCGUGCCAGCAGCCGCGGUAAUACGAAGGGUGCAAGCGUUACUCGGAAUUACUGGGCGUAAAGCGUGCGUAGGCGGUUCGUUAAGUCUGUCGUGAAAGCCCUGGGCUCAACCUGGGAAUUGCGAUGGAUACUGGCGAGCUAGAGUACGGUAGAGGAUGGUGGAAUUCCCGGUGUAGCGGUGAAAUGCGUAGAGAUCGGGAGGAACACCCGUGGCGAAGGCGGCCAUCUGGACCAGUACUGACGCUGA
RNAcentral lists this ribosomal RNA (402 nucleotides) under uncultured bacterium. RNAcentral describes it as "bacterial SSU rRNA". It matches the Rfam family "Bacterial small subunit ribosomal RNA", at positions 355 to 749 of the family's 1533-position model. The record is from RNAcentral.